CGCGGAGGCUUGUCGGCGGAGGCAGCGACAGGAGGCUGGAGAGCCGAGUCCCGUGGCUCGCUUACCCGCAGGUGUUGUUCCUUUGAUACAAUGGACGGUGAUUCUGCACUUCUGCCUGAGAAUGGUCCAAAAUGGUGAAGAUUGAGGCUGGACUUCCUGUUUUGUGCCCAGGACAAGAACGAUGAAGAGGCUCAGCAGGGCCAAAAGGUCAGUAGGUUUUUUUCUUUGCUGUGUGAUAGGGCUCUGAGUAGGCUGGGCAACUGUUAGCCAUGAGCAAACCAAACAGAGCCCCAGCCCAGCAUUUUGUGACCUUGGGCGAGGCAUAUGAUGUCAGAUUUUGAAACUCACAGGUGCUUUUAUGCCCAUUUAGUGAUAAGACAGCUGAGGCAGAAUGAAGUGGGCAUGUGGGCAACAUUAUAAGGCUGUGGAAGGCAGCGAGUCAGAUGGAGCAUCCUUCUUGGGUGUUUAUAUCCAUGCUGAUCUCUGCUUCUCUCCACAGCGUCCACAUCCUCAUGGGGAGGAGGGCCUUAAUCUUUUCUGUAUUGUGGACCCUUCCUCAGAAUACUGUCUUUAAGUGCUUACAUUAAAAUACCUAGGAUUACAAACAUGUAUUACUUUGAGCAGUCUCAGGGAUAUUUGUCCUAAGCACCCCUCAUUCCAUUACAUCAAUAGUUAAUUACAGAGUUUUUAAAUACAUAGUGUUGCCAAGGGAACCACAUGGACCCCCGAAUGC
Molecule: long non-coding RNA, 733 nt
Organism: Trichechus manatus latirostris (Florida manatee)
Lineage: Eukaryota; Metazoa; Chordata; Mammalia; Sirenia; Trichechidae
Exons: 3
Source: RefSeq, a predicted model, not a curated record